UACGAAGGUCCCAAGCGUUAUCCGGAUUUAUUGGGUUUAAAGGGUGCGUAGGCGGGCUAUUAAGUCAGUGGUGAAAGCCCCAAGCUUAACUUGGGAACUGCCAUUGAUACUGAUGGUCUUGAGUACAUUUGAGGUGGGCGGAAUGUGUCAUGUAGCGGUGAAAUGCUUAGAUAUGACACAGAACACCGAUUGCGAAGGCAGCUCACUAAACUGUAACUGACACUGAGGCACGAAAGCGUGGGGAGCAAACAGG
RNAcentral lists this ribosomal RNA (253 nucleotides) under uncultured bacterium. RNAcentral describes it as "partial 16S ribosomal RNA". It matches the Rfam family "Bacterial small subunit ribosomal RNA", at positions 524 to 776 of the family's 1533-position model. The record is from RNAcentral.